RNAcentral lists this ribosomal RNA (440 nucleotides) under uncultured bacterium. Its description in RNAcentral is "partial 16S ribosomal RNA". It matches the Rfam family "Bacterial small subunit ribosomal RNA", at positions 338 to 795 of the family's 1533-position model. The record is from RNAcentral.
CCUACGGGAGGCAGCAGUAGGGAAUAUUGCUCAAUGGGGGCAACCCUGAAGCAGCAACGCCGCGUGGAGGAUGAAGGUUUUCGGAUUGUAAACUCCUUUUGUUAGAGAAGAUAAUGACGUUAACUAACGGAUAAGCACCGGCUAACUCCGUGCCAGCAGCCGCGGUAAUACGUAGUGUGCAAGCGUUCCGCGGAAUCACUGGGCGUAAAGAGCGCGUAGGCGGGAUAGCAAGUCAGAUGUGAAAUCCUGUGGCUUAAACAUAGAACUGCAUUUGAAACUGGUAUUCUAGAGUAUGGGAGAGGUAGGUGGAAGUCUUGGUGUAGGGGUGAAAUGCGUAGAGAUCAGGAGGAAUACUAAUUGCGAAGGCGACCUGCUAGAACAUAACUGACGCUGAUGCGCGAAAGCGUGGGGAGCAAACAGGAUUAGAUACCCGGGUAGUC